RNAcentral lists this ribosomal RNA (253 nucleotides) under uncultured bacterium. RNAcentral's name for it is "partial 16S ribosomal RNA". It matches the Rfam family "Bacterial small subunit ribosomal RNA", at positions 524 to 776 of the family's 1533-position model. The record is from RNAcentral.
UACGUAGGGACCGAGCGUUGUCCGGAAUCAUUGGGCGUAAAGCGCGUGUAGGCGGCCCUGUAAGUCGGGUGUGAAAUCCCACGGCUCAACCGUGGAAGUGCAUUCGAAACUACAGGGCUAGAGUUCUGGAGAGGAAGGUGGAAUGCUCGGUGUAGAGGUGAAAUUCGUAGAUAUCAAGCGGAACACCGGUGGCGAAGGCGGCCUUCUGGACAGUAACUGACGCUGAGACGCGAAAGCGUGGGGAGCAAACAGG